UCUCAUCAAAGGAAAGUACAUGGUUUGUGUUAAGUUCUUAGAAAAAAACGAAGUAAGCUUAGGUAGUCUUAUUACUGUCUAGGCAGACUCUGAAGCUGGGCGGCGUUGGGACCACUGAUUAUCAUGUUUCCACUCUAGCGGUGAUUUCUGCUGUUCUCCGAUUGCUCUGCUCGUGCCAAAUUAAGCAAGGUAAACAAAUGGAGACUUGAAGAAGACACCACAGUGGAGAGAGAUGUAAAGAGUAAAGAGCUAUGGUAAACCAUUCCCUCUGUCUAAUGGCCAGAAUCAUAAUCCUUAUUAUCUAUUGCCAACCAAACAUUGAUAUUUUUUUUGUAGAAAGGUCAUUGUUAAAAAUCUGCGUUGUUUUAAUAAGCUUUGUUGUGCCUAUUUUCCUUUAUAAGCCAAAGGACAGCUCAGAGAGAAGCUUUAGCUUGUGGAUACCACUGGGGCUCACCCUUGACCCGAUAGCCAAUCAUCAGAAUAGCAUGUCAAAAUGGUGUUUUCAUGCAAGAUGGAGGGCUGCACUGACUAGAGCUUUACGAUACAGCUCUUACCUGCUGGAGGUCGAUAAGCUAGGACAAAUAGAAUGGACGUUUUGAUCCAAAAACUUCCAUGCUGCCGGUCCACCUUGUCCUUUCCUUUGAUUCAAAUAACAGCAAUUUGUUUCAAUUGCUAGCUACUUCAACAAUUAAGACGAAAUCCACACUUGAUGUGUCAAUCAACACUCUAUGAUCUAACUGAAGUUAGAAGAUCUACAUCUCCAAUCCUCUUUUCCUUCUCUGUUCAACUCAACUGAGCAAAUAUUCGUGAGUACCUUCCUGCCCCACGAUAGACAAUAAGGAUACAAAGAUAAAGCAGUUCUGCCGGGGAGAUGCUCACGGCCUCUUAUCCGAGGAGGAAGGCGGUUGACACAGACUUAACCAAACACGUGCUAGUGCCUGCCUUGCUGGAACGUUGUAAAGAUUAAAUGAGAUAACAUAUGAAAAAAGCUUAGCAUGGGGGCACCUGGGUGGCUCAGUUGGUUAAGCGACCGACUUUUUAACAACAUUUUUUAACUUGAUUUAUUUAUUUUGAGAGAGCUAGAUAGAGAGCACUAGCGGGGAAGGGACAGAGAGAGGGAGAGAGAAAGCACCCAGCAGGCUCCGCACAAACAGCGCCGAGACCGACAUGGGGCUCAAACCCACCAACCGUGAGAUCAUGACCUGAGCCAAGAUCAAGGGCGCUUAACCAACCGAGUCACCCAGAUGCCCCAGCGACUGACUCUUGGUCUCGGCUCAAGUGGCCAUCUCACAGCUUGUGAGUUCGUGCCCCAAGUGGGGCUUCUCUGCUGAUAUCGCAGAGCCUAUUUGGGGUUCUGUCUUUCCCUCUCUCUGCCCCUCCCCUGCUUGUGCUCUCUCUAAAUUAAUUAAUUAAUUAAUUUUUAAAAAGGCCUAGCUUGGAGCCAGGCGCAGCAGUAGCUGGCUAAAAUGGUAUAAUGGGAUGUGGCAGGUGUCUCAUGGGUAGCCUUGGCUUCCUCACCCCUCCCCCACUUCCCUCCUCCCCCCCACAAACCACUACCCCCCCACACACACCACCAACACACCACAUGAGAUCAACAGCCCAUUGCCCCAUCUGCCAAACAGAUCCAGCCACACAGUAUUUCUUUUUCCUUUUGGCAGGUCAUUUAGAUUCUACCAAAAAUUUCACAAAAAGAGGGGAAGACAAUUAGAAAUAAAACGUAAUAAAAUCUCCAUGAGACACUUCCAUGCUUCACCUGAAUAUCUCCUCUCUAAGUCCCCCCACUUCAUUUCUUUACCCACCCCCCUCGCCGUCACCCCAGACAAAACCCCCUUCAUUGCUCUGAGCUCCAGUCCUUCCCACUCAGGAAGGAAAAGCAGCCUUAUAGUUUAGGGGCUCAGCCCCUUAGAGAUCCCUCAGUCUCCCUUUUAUCACAGAAGCAUGCCCCUUUGCUGUGGUUUUUGCGGGGGGAGGGGGAGUGGUUGUGGAAGGACUUCUCUCCCUUAUCAAAUUUUUCACCCAAGAAAAAGCAAAUCUGUUGUAAGCAAGAGGUUCGCUAUCACCCUUCUAAGAAAAUAAGAUUUCCUCCACACUUCCAGACUCAAAACCAAUAAGCACCAAAUUUCCUUGACACUGAAAAUCUCACCAUAUCAUCUCUUUAAUUAGGUGUCAACCAAGCUCUGGGGGCAGAGAAAGUGCUGGGCAAUUGGAAGUUUCUUUUCCUGGAUUUCCAUCCCUGAAUUGUGCUUUGGAUAAUGCUUCCAAGGGCAGGACCCCAGUCUUUCCAGCUUGCCCAGAACUUUGCUCUCUGACCCGUCCUGACCAUUCCAAUCCUCCCUGAAUACACUCCUACGAUCCGUGGACUUCACUCCCUUCCCAUGGUUUUGCUGGUGCAGCCAAGCAGAGCCGUGUUGCUUUAAGCAGAAAAGCUCAUAGUCUCCUUAGAGGCAUCCUGUGACUUUCUCCUGUUUCUAUCUGCUCUAUAUCCUCUCCCCUUCUAGCCCAUAGAAGCAGGAAGUUACACAGGCGCCACAAGGACUUCCCAGCAAAAUCUCCCUCUGCCACACGUACAGCCAUGAAGCUCUUGGUUCCAUUCACAACUUCCUCAGUAGAGGGAGGGUCAAACCUCUGUGAAUACCACACUGAGUAUUCUGGCUCUGUCUCGUGCCAUCAUACUCAAUACAACUGUGUGUCUCCUUUGAGUGUUGGACGCCUUAACCAUUAUGCAACAGUACAACAACUAAGGGGGUGUCGUUUCACAAUGUCGUUUGGCUGGAUUUUGUGAUUGGUUUAAUCGUAAUAGGAAAUGUCACUUUGUUGUGACUUUGAAUGAUUCUCACUCCCAGGUGGACCUCCCUCCGUUUGCACCCCAACUCUCUGGACCUUUGGGGUACCAGAAGGAAGAGACACAAAUGGGCUCCUGCUCCCAGAACCAAGGAGGUCUGAAAUAUUCUGCCUCAUGAACACACAUGCUCAUUUGGAAGCCUCAGAAGGACAGGAUGUGGUUCUUGGGAGUUUUUGCAAAUGCAGCCAGCCUAAGGAAAAAGCUUACGUUGCCUUAAAGCACAUAGACUCACGUUGCAACACCUAGAACCUCCCAGGGAGGCUCCCACCUUCUGGGAAGUUCUACCAAAACGCAAAAGUGAGGCGCAGCUCUCCAGCACGUCUGGGCAGCUACGCAGCUGCUUCUCUUGGCACCCAAUCAGAACUGGUUCCUCUUUUUCUCAUGCUAUCAAGAUGUUCCUUGUUUCCGAUAAUGACUGUUAAUAAUAAUAUUUACACGAACAAGCUUUCCUUUGUUCCAGAACAUCUCGGAGGGCUUCAGAACGAGUGCGCCACAAAUCCAGGGCCAGAUGUACUGAGAUGGAGCAUCCAGAGGGGUCCCC
This 3383-nucleotide long non-coding RNA is filed under the name Lynx pardinus (Iberian lynx). The record is from RNAcentral. Lineage: Eukaryota; Metazoa; Chordata; Mammalia; Carnivora; Felidae.